Molecule: long non-coding RNA, 1012 nt
Organism: Dicentrarchus labrax (European seabass)
Lineage: Eukaryota; Metazoa; Chordata; Actinopteri; Moronidae
Exons: 4
Source: RefSeq, a predicted model, not a curated record
CAUGAUUCAAUUGAAAUUAAGAAUGUCAGUCAAAAGGAUGUACGGAUAAUUGCUUCUGUCAUUGGCUGACGUAGGCACGUUCAACUAACGUCUCCAAACAAAACGUUUCUGCUGUCCGCCAUUUUCUCUCUUUCACCACUUCCAAAUCUAUUCGGUAGUUUGAAUUACCCUGCUGGAAUCUGAGCGCGAGGCCGGCAGGUGAGCUCAGUGUGACGGAGAAACCCACAGCCGCUGCACAGAGACACUCUCCUCUCUCCUCAGGAACAAACUGGUGCCUGCUCCACAGUUUGUCAUCAAGAAUUCCAACCAAACAAAAAGGGCUGUCAUUCUGAGGGGCCUGCCAUAUUUCCUCCGUGAAGAAACUCUGUGAGUUCCUCAGGACUGCAGAGCCCACAGACAUGGAGGACAGCAUGACGAGGGGAAUGAAUGUCGGCAUUGUCCUAGUAAAAGAAGGAGAGGAUCUUCUUGACAUUUCGGUGGUCCUGGAGGAACAGAUCAUUCUGCAUGGCAUCAAGGACUACUCGCAUGCGGUAGCUAUGUUAAUGGGUCUGCUAUAUGCACUGAACAUUGACUUCCAUUCAGAAGAUUCUCAUGAACAUCGGCGGUGAGCACUGCUCUGCAAGGGUUCAUGGACUGAGGAAUAGACUUCUUCGUAAAACUGUGUAGACACUACACUGAGACUGAGAGUUUUCUUUUCAGUUCUGUUCCACUAUUGUAAUGGUCACUGACAUUGUCAGUUGCAAGAAUUUAAGUUUAAUUUAAUUUAAGUUUGAGGUCUUUCCUGGAAAGUCUUUUUGACCCGUUUGGGUGUGCAUAAUUUUAUUUUAUAUUUUUUUCACAUUAUGAAAGACAGCGACAGAAGUAAUGAGUAGAGAGUACUCAUUUGUGCACAUUCUAAAGAGAUGUUUUACCCAUAAGCUUGUGUUGUUUUUGGGGACAAAACCUUUUGUACUUGAUGGGAUGUGUUGAUGUAUUUACCUUGCCGAUCUGGUUUAUUAAAGCUUUGAAGAAC